Molecule: ribosomal RNA, 501 nt
Filed under: uncultured bacterium
Lineage: Bacteria
Description: partial 16S ribosomal RNA
Rfam family: Bacterial small subunit ribosomal RNA
Source: RNAcentral
AUUGAACGCUGGCGGCAUGCCUUACACAUGCAAGUCGAACGGCAGCACGGGUGCUUGCACCUGGUGGCGAGUGGCGAACGGGUGCGUAACACAUCGGAACGUACCUUAUCGUGGGGGAUAACGCAGCGAAAGCUGUGCCAAUACCGCAUACGCCCUGAGGGGGCACGCGGGGGAUCGCAAGACCUCGCGCGAUUAGAGCGGCCGAUGCCUGAUUAGCUGGUUGGUGGGGUAGAAGCCCACCAAGGCGACGAUCAGUAGCUGGUCGGAGAGGACGAUCAGCCACACUGGGACUGAGACACGGCCCAGACUCCUACGGGAGGCAGCAGUGGGGAAUUUUGGACAAUGGGGGCAACCCUGAUCCAGCAAUGCCGCGUGAGUGAAGAAGGCCUUCGGGUUGUAAAGCUCUUUUGUCAGGGAAGAAACACCGGCUCUAACACAGUCUGGGAAUGACGGUACCUGAAGAAUAAGCACCGGCUAACUACGUGCCAGCCGCCGCGGUAA